Molecule: long non-coding RNA, 2698 nt
Organism: Oncorhynchus tshawytscha (Chinook salmon)
Lineage: Eukaryota; Metazoa; Chordata; Actinopteri; Salmoniformes; Salmonidae
Source: Ensembl
GUUUAAUCUUUUAUUUUUUUAACCAGACCGUUCAAACCAGUGAUAUUAUUACAUGAAAGGAUAUUUGUUUCACAAAAGCAUUAGGGCUCAGUUAAACCAAACAUUGCAGUAUUUAUGCAGUAGCUCUUUUUCCAUCGUCAAAUUAACCCAGACUGGUCUUGGGUACUGUAUAAAACCUGCAACUACACCAGGGCAAUCCUCCUUAGGACUGCUUUCACUUUUCAGAAUUGUGGGUGUGGGCACGGGAUGAAGUGUGGGCACGGGAUGAAGUGUGGGCACGGGAUGAAGUGUGGGCACGGGAUGAAGUGUGGGCACAGGAUGAAUAGUGUAAAUAAAGACACCUCAUAAACAUUUCUAUGGCAGUUAAUGAAUCCCAGCCUUAGUUAGUCGUUUGGUAAAAGGCCACAGAGGAAUACAGAAAAUGGUCAUACCGUGACAUAACGCAUCAAAAAGUAUCACACACAUGCACUCACACACAAACACACUCACAACAGUUGUCAUUGUCUUUUUAGACCAGAGGUUAAAAUGUGAUUUGCAGGUUAAACAAACUAAUUAGCCCAUCUACGAUUAUUUAUUGAAGCAUGUUCAUCUUAAAAUAUUAGAUUUUUGGGUCAAUAUAGGUCACCUGUAAAUAGGCAAACGUUCCUUUUUAACACCUAUUUGCCAAUAAACAGUAACACAUUGUGGGCAUUGGGGAAAUAAAUCUGGCAUUUUGUAUGGUAGCCUGCAUUUGGUAAAUGAUUUCAUUCUCUUGUCAAUAACACUUGCCUUUUAAGGCACUCAGUAUUACUGCAACAUAAUGAACAUGGUGGAACAAUCUUCACAAAGACACACUCAUCACACCCUUUCAUCCACAAGACAAACUAAAUCUGAGACAGGAUACUCUAACCCACAACAUAACCGUCAGAAAAAAAAAGACUUCUACAACAACAAAUCACAAUGCUCGACAAAACACUUGGACACACAACUGUAAACUACAGAUCAUUAGACAUACAUUUUGUUUUCAAAAGAGAUGAAUUACAGUGGGGGGGGCUCAUAAUAAUACCUGGAAUUGAAUCACUGGAAUGGUAUCAAGCACUUGGAGACAGUUUUUUUAAUACCAUUGCAUUUUGACCGUUCCAGCCAUCACUAUGAGCCUGGGGGGGGGUGUAGUGGCUGGCUCAUCACAGCAUCAGGCCCAGGCAGAGGCCUGACACUUUAUUACAAGAAUCAUGAGGAUAACGCACUUUUUGUUUGACCAAAUCAAUAAAUAGGAUGUUUUGAGUGAUGUGACAAUGUAGAAUGUGAACGUGCUCUUUAUACGUUUCAAGGCAUCCUUUCCAUUUUUUUUUUACAUCCAUGAUCUUGGCUGUUUAACUGAUGACAGAUUCGGUGCAGGUCUCUUUGCUGAUGACUCGUUUGACUUUCAAUGUGAGAUUGCGUGAUCUCAGCUCAGCCUAUCAGAAAACCGAGAUGGCCCAUCUUGGUAAGGGGCCAGCCAUUGCCCACUGAUCAGCCAAAGGCUCAUUACAGAUUAGUAUAACAGAUACAUUGUUCAAAAAUCUUUAAGAAAUCUUGACAGGCAUUGGAUUUCUCUUAAUGUGACCAAGGGAGAUGUCUGCUUUUGGUGUAAUGCCUGGAGCCACUAGAUUUGACAACUAUAAUUGCAGUUCACCUCUGGCAUUAUCCGCUAAGCGGAUGUUGGCUAAAGCGGAUCUGAUUGAAUCUAGCCCUUAAAUAUUAAAGCUACAAGUAACUACCAAAAUAAAGGAAACACCAACGUAAAGUGUCUUAAUAGGGGGCGUCGGGCCACCAUGCGCCAGAACAGCUUCAAUGCACCAGAUUCUACAAGUGUCUGGAACUCUAUUGGAGGGAUGCAAUGCCAUUCUUCCAUGAGAAAUUCCAUAAUUUGGUGUUUUGUUGAUGGUGGUGGAAAAUGCUGUCACAAACACCACUCCAGAAUAUCCCAUCUGGUAACUGAGACGGCCAUGGCAUUUGGUUUACAUCGUUUACUCAUCAAACCACUCAGUGACCACUCGUGCCCUGUGGAUGGGGGCAUUGUCAUCCUAUGGGGGCAUAGUCAUGUUAGCCAAAAUAAUGGCCUGAUAAGCAUUUUUAUACAUGACCCUAAGCAUGAUGGGAUGUUAAUUGUUGAAAUAACUCAGGAACCAUGCUUGUGUGGAAGCACCUGCUUUCAAUAUACUUUCUCAUUUACUCAAGUGUUUCCAUUAUUUUGGCAGUUACCUGUAUACACUGGAAGAACCUGCCAGUCUCUGUUGUAAGUCAAUUUUGACUUGAGUGGAAGCUAGGAUUGACCAUUUAGUAACAAGCUGACGUGUGCCAACAUAAACAAUAUGAUUAUAGUAGCUAGAGUCUGAAGGAAAUUCAUUGUCGGUUGCGCUUCAAGGCUAAAGGGACCUGCCAUUAUAUUAGAGCGUCCAGGGGUUAUAGAAGGGUUGUCACUUUCACAAUAUGUGUGGGUAUAAGAGAAACUGAGCAUAAGUGAGAGAAUGGGCAAGAAAGACCAUGAAGAUAGAUGAAUGAGAGAGAGAAGUGGAGGUAAGAAAAGUGAGAGAGAUUGAAAGGGAGGAAGAGGAAGUUGUGGCUCUAGGAAGCGGUGAACUUCCUGAGUGUGAUGACAAUGAGGGCGAGGAGGACUGAAGCCCCCAGGAAGACAGCGAUGACAAUUGCUGUGAUGGCGCCCGGGCCCAGGACACCU